Molecule: ribosomal RNA, 697 nt
Filed under: Glomus microaggregatum
Lineage: Eukaryota; Fungi; Glomeromycota; Glomeromycetes; Glomerales; Glomeraceae
Description: eukaryotic LSU rRNA
Rfam family: Eukaryotic large subunit ribosomal RNA
Source: RNAcentral
CUAACAAGGGUUCCCCUAGUAACGGCGAGUGAAGAGGGAAGAGCUCAAAUUUUAAAUCUGCCUUGUUUCAAGGUCGAGUUGUAAUUUGAAGGUGCGUUUUCUCGGGCCCGCACCGGUAGAAGUUCUUUGGAACAGGGCAUCAUAGAGGGUGAUAAUCCCGUCUGUGACCGGUCGCGAGUUCGUAUACGAUACGCACUCUAAGAGUCGAGUUGUUUGGGAUUGCAGCUCAAAACGGGUGGUAAACAUCACCUAAGGCUAAAUAUUGGCGAGAGACCGAUAGCGAACAAGUACCGUGAGGGAAAGAUGAAAAGAACUUUGAAAAGAGAGUUAAACAGUACGUGAAAUUGUUGAAAGGGAAACGCUUGAAGUCAGUCGUGCUGGCAUGAAAUCAACCGUUGCGCUAGUAAGUUGUCUGCGGGUGAGCUAAAAACCAUCGCGUUGACAUUUUUGCGUGCGCAGCGGUGCACUUUUGUGUCAGCUGGUUAGCAUCAAUUUCGACCGUCAUAAAAAGGCUGGGGGGAUGUGGCUCCUUCGGGAGUGUUAUAACCCUUAGCGGAAUGUGGUGGACGAGAUUGAGGUUUGCAACGGGUGCCGCUCUGCCUGGCCUCUCUCUGGCGCCCUGGAGGCGACAGCUCGCUGACGUCUUUGGGAGCCGCUGACGAAAAGGUUAGAGUGUGAGUUGACCCGUUAAGGGUGC